RNAcentral lists this ribosomal RNA (399 nucleotides) under uncultured bacterium. RNAcentral describes it as "partial 16S ribosomal RNA". It matches the Rfam family "Bacterial small subunit ribosomal RNA", at positions 361 to 776 of the family's 1533-position model. The record is from RNAcentral.
AUAUUGCACAAUGGAGGCAACUCUGAUGCAGCGACGCCGCGUGAGUGAAGAAGGUCUUCGGAUCGUAAAGCUCUGUCCUUGGUGAAGAAAAAAUGACGGUAGCCAAGGAGGAAGCCCCGGCUAACUACGUGCCAGCAGCCGCGGUAAUACGUAGGGGGCGAGCGUUGUCCGGAUUUACUGGGCGUAAAGGGUGAGUAGGCGGUUAUAUAAGUCAGAUGUAAAAGGCGUAGGCUCAACUUACGUAAGCAUUUGAAACUGUAUGACUUGAGGACAGGAGAGGUAAGCGGAAUUCCUAGUGUAGCGGUGAAAUGCGUAGAUAUUAGGAGGAACAUCAGUGGCGAAGGCAGCCCCCUGGGCCGAUACUGACGCUCAUGCACGAAAGCGUGGGUAGCAAACAGG